UAAGUACUCCCUCCGUCCGGAAAUACUUGUCCUAGGUCUAGAUACAAUCAUUUCUAGGACAAGUAUUUCCGGACGGAGGGAGUACGAA
Non-coding RNA from Triticum aestivum (bread wheat), 88 nucleotides. Lineage: Eukaryota; Viridiplantae; Streptophyta; Magnoliopsida; Poales; Poaceae. The record is from Rfam.